Molecule: ribosomal RNA, 447 nt
Filed under: uncultured bacterium
Lineage: Bacteria
Description: bacterial SSU rRNA
Rfam family: Bacterial small subunit ribosomal RNA
Source: RNAcentral
UCGGGAAUUUUGGGCAAUGGGCGAAAGCCUGACCCAGCAACGCCGCGUGAAGGAUGAAGUAUUUCGGUAUGUAAACUUCGUAAGAAUAGGAAGAAUAAAUGACGGUACUAUUUGUAAGGUCCGGCUAACUACGUGCCAGCAGCCGCGGUAAUACGUAGGGACCAAGCGUUGUUCGGAUUUACUGGGCGUAAAGGGCGCGUAGGCGGUGUGUCAAGUCAGUUGUGAAAUCUCCGAGCUUAACUCGGAACGGUCAACUGAUACUGUCACACUAGAGUACAGAAGGGGCAAUCGGAAUUCUUGGUGUAGCGGUGAAAUGCGUAGAUAUCAAGAGGAACACCUGAGGUGAAGACGGGUUGCUGGGCUGACACUGACGCUGAGGCGCGAAAGCCAGGGGAGCAAACGGGAUUAGAUACCCGAGUAGUCCCUGAGCGGGCUGGCAAGGCGCAU